CAGCCGCCACGGUAAUACGGAGGGGGCUAGCGUUGUUCGGAAUUAUUGGGCGUAAAGGGUGCGUAGGCGGUUUGAUAAGUCAUCUGUGAAAUCUCUGGGCUCAACCCAGAGUCUGCAGGCGAAACUGUCGGGCUUGAGUAUGGGAGAGGUGAGUGGAAUUUCCGGUGUAGCGGUGAAAUGCGUAGAUAUCGGAAGGAACACCUGUGGCGAAAGCGGCUCACUGGACCAUAACUGACGCUGAUGCACGAAAGCUAGGGGAGCAAACAGGAUUAGAUACCCGGGUAGUCCCUGUCUCUUAUAA
RNAcentral lists this ribosomal RNA (301 nucleotides) under uncultured bacterium. RNAcentral's name for it is "partial 16S ribosomal RNA". It matches the Rfam family "Bacterial small subunit ribosomal RNA", at positions 509 to 809 of the family's 1533-position model. The record is from RNAcentral.